This 974-nucleotide ribosomal RNA is filed under the name Arenaria interpres (ruddy turnstone). RNAcentral's name for it is "12S ribosomal RNA". It matches the Rfam family "Bacterial small subunit ribosomal RNA". Lineage: Eukaryota; Metazoa; Chordata; Aves; Charadriiformes; Scolopacidae. The record is from RNAcentral.
AAAAGACUUAGUCCUAACCUUACCGUUAAUUUUUGCUAAACAUAUACAUGCAAGUAUCCGCGUCCCAGUGUAAAUGCCCUUAUUCUCUUACUAAGAAAGAAGGAGCGGGUAUCAGGCACACCUAAGUUGUAGCCCAAGACGCCUUGCUCAGCCACACCCCCACGGGUACUCAGCAGUAAUUAACAUUAAGCAAUGAGUGAAAACUUGACUUAGUCAUAGCAACUUCAGGGUUGGUAAAUCUUGUGCCAGCCACCGCGGUCACACAAGAGACCCAAAUUAACUGUAUACGGCGUAAAGAGUGGUAUCAUAUUAUCACAACAACUAAGACCGAAGUGCAACUGAGCUGUCAUAAGCCCAAGAUGUGCCUAAGACCCCCCUUAAGACGAUCUUAGCAUUUUUGAUCAACUUAACUCCACGAAAGCUAAGACACAAACUGGGAUUAGAUACCCCACUAUGCUUAGCCCUAAAUCUUGAUGCUUCUUUCAUACUAAAGCAUCCGCCUGAGAACUACGAGCACAAACGCUUAAAACUCUAAGGACUUGGCGGUGCCCCAAACCCACCUAGAGGAGCCUGUUCUAUAAUCGAUAACCCACGUUACACCCGACCGCCCCUUGCCAGAGCAGCCUACAUACCGCCGUCGCCAGCUCACCUCUUCUGAGAGCCCAACAGUGAGCACAAUAGCCCAACCACGCUAGUAAGACAGGUCGAGGUAUAGCCCACGGGACGGAAGAAAUGGGCUACAUUUUCUAAAAUAGAAAACUUACGGAAGGGGGCAUGAAAUUUGGCCCCCCGAAGGCGGAUUUAGCAGUAAAGCGGGACAAUAUAAGCCCCCUUUAAGCUGGCCCUGGGGCACGUACAUACCGCCCGUCACCCUCCUCACAAGCUACACUCACAUAAUACCUAAUACAAUCCCUAGCUGAAGAUGAGGUAAGUCGUAACAAGGUAAGUGUACCGGAAGGUGCACUUAGUAUACC